RNAcentral lists this ribosomal RNA (492 nucleotides) under uncultured bacterium. RNAcentral describes it as "partial 16S ribosomal RNA". It matches the Rfam family "Bacterial small subunit ribosomal RNA", at positions 29 to 507 of the family's 1533-position model. The record is from RNAcentral.
AGUGAACGCUGGCGGUAGGCCUAACACAUGCAAGUCGAACGGCAGCACAGUAAGAGCUUGCUCUUACGGGUGGCGAGUGGCGGACGGGUGAGGAAUACAUCGGAAUCUACUUUUUCGUGGGGGAUAACGUAGGGAAACUUACGCUAAUACCGCAUACGACCUACGGGUGAAAGCAGGGGAUCUUCGGACCUUGCGCGAUUGAAUGAGCCGAUGUCGGAUUAGCUAGUUGGCGGGGUAAAGGCCCACCAAGGCGACGAUCCGUAGCUGGUCUGAGAGGAUGAUCAGCCACACUGGAACUGAGACACGGUCCAGACUCCUACGGGAGGCAGCAGUGGGGAAUAUUAGACAAUGGGCGCAAGCCUGAUCCAGCAAUACCGCGUGGGUGAAGAAGGCCUUCGGGUUGUAAAGCCCUUUUGUUGGGAAAGAAAAGCAGCAGGUUAAUACCCCGCUGUUCUGACGGUACCCAAAGAAUAAGCAACGGCUAACUUCGUG